This 6236-nucleotide long non-coding RNA is filed under the name Sus scrofa (pig). RNAcentral's name for it is "lncRNA (ENSSSCG00055021816.1)". Lineage: Eukaryota; Metazoa; Chordata; Mammalia; Artiodactyla; Suidae. The record is from RNAcentral.
GGCCACAUCUGUGACACAUGGAAGUUCCUGGGCUAGGGGUUGAAUCAGCUUGCAGCUGGCCUACAUCACAGCACAGCAACACAGGAACUGAACUGCAUCUGUGACCUACACUGCAGCUUGCAGCAAUACCUGAUACUUAACCCACGGAGUGAGGCCAGAGAUCAGACCCACAUCCUCAUGGACAUCAUGUUGGGUUCUUAACCUGCUGAGCCACAGAGGGAACUCCAAAAAAUACAUUUCUAUUUUCCACAACAAAUGAAGGUAAACAGAGAAACCUGUGGGGCUUGACUUAGAUAUUCUUGCAGCCCAUGUGCUCUUGAAAGCUCUGGACACACAGUAACUAAGUCAUUAAUCCUCACUACAACUUCUCCCCAUAAACCGCAUAUUAUUAUUCUUUAAUGGUUGAUGAAACUCAGUCAGGAAAGAUAAUUGCCUUGCUCAAGGCCACAGAGGGGGCCUGUGUUAGAAAAGAGUUAGACUUGAGUGAUUUCUGGCCUACAGGCUUGUAUGUGGACCACCAGGUUAUAUGUGAUGGAAGAGUCUUUCUUGAAUUGUAUGCAGAGUAUUUGUGUUUCCAUCCGCGUGUGUGUGUGUGUGUGUGUGUGUGUGUGCAUGUGUUGCUUCCUUUCAUGUCCUAAUAUUAGAAAAAAACAUUUGCAGUCUUGUGAUAUAUUUAUUAACUCUGAAAUUUGUUCUCUUCCUCUUUCAGUGUCUGCUUUGUCUGAGAAACAGCAACCCUGGGCAACAAAUCAAAAGGAUGAAAACAGAAGAGCAUACUCUGAACUACAGAAUGUCACCAGACAAUUAUUUUCAGGGACCAGACCAUCUAAUGUCAGGUUUUGAUGAAUUCUUAAUAACAUCUUCGAUGAAAGAAUUGUUUUUCUGUCUAGGAAGGUGCUUUAGUAGUGGUGAAGUGUGUACAGGGUUCAGGAGUCAAAGGUACCAGAAUUGGAAUUCUGGUUCUAUCUUUUCCUGUCUCCCUUACGUUGGGAAAAUAACUGAAACUCUGUGUUUCAGUUUUCUCAUCUGCAAACUAUGGAUGUCACAGGAUUGUUGUAAGGAUUCUAUAGGACCAUAUAUUAGUGUGCUUAGAACUGUGCUGGGCAUAUAGGAUGAGCUCAACAGAGCUUAGAUGCUAUCAUCAUCUCCAUUACAAAUACACAGCAGGAUAGGAGGCAGAAGCUUUUUUUCCAGCUUUUUGGGGCCAUACAUGCAGCAUAUGGAAGUUCCCAGGCUAGGGACUGAAUCAGAGCUACAGCUGCUGGCCUACACCACAGCCACAGCAACACCAGAUCUGAGCCGUGUCCGCAAGCUACACCACAGCUCACGGUAACAUCAAAUCUAUAAACCACUGAGUGGGGCCAGGGAUCCAACCUGCCUCCUCAUGGAUACCAGUUGGGUUCAUUUUUGCGAAGCCACCUUAGGAACUCCAGAAGCUAUCUUUUCAAACCACGCUAGUGGUCAGUGCUCCGUGCUCCUGCUACUUGUGAAGAAAAUGCUUUUCUUUAUUUAAAAGAGUCAAGAGGCUACAUAAAUGAAUAAAAUCAGGACAAAACGACUUGAGGGAAUGUACCUAAACAAAAUUCAGGGGCGCACAGAAAACUUAGGAAGAAACAUCACAUUCUCAGAGGUUGGAUUCUGAAUAAAAUUGUUGGCACAUAUCAGUAUACACUUCAACAUGCCUCUUCCAUGUGUUGUCUUUUCAUCAUGAAGAAAGUUCUUCCUGGGUGAAAAGUAGACACUAAUGCUGCAGCCCUAAAGAGUGUUGACUGCCAAACUCUUCUCUUCUAGGGGCCAAUGUGGACUAUUGGCUCAGAAUGAAAAGCACAGAAACAUCACAGUGACGUGGUUCUUUGCAGCGUUAAACAUGGAUGAGUCAUACCAUCAAGCUGACACAGACAAACACAACUAUAUCAGGUAGAUCAAGCCCACAGAUAUACUGCUUAUAUCCAGAAAAUAACACCAAGGUAUUCUGGCCUCAAAAUAAAGAACGACUUCCUGGAAAUUAAAAGUAUGAUGAUGAUCAAAAUUAGACAGUAGAAGAGUUGAACGAUGAGGUUGAAAAAAAACCUAGAACAUACAGAGCUUAAAAAACAUAAAGCGAAGAUAAGUAUGAGAAAAUGGAUGCACUAGAUUUAACAGCCAACUCACAGGAGAUUCAUAAAGAGAAAAUUAGAGCUAAUACAGAGGAAGACAUUAUGGGAAGAAUUAAUAAAAAAAAUUCCCAGAAAUGAAGACUAUUCCUCCUUAAAUUGAAAGGGCUCAUCAAGUAUCCAGUGAAAGUGAACAGGAAGAACCCCACAUUUUUCAAUGCUUCAGAGAAAUUUCAGAACAUCAAGGAUAAAGAGGAUAUCCUCAGAGCUUCAAGAGAGAGAAAAAAAUCACCUACAAAGGAAUGUGUGAAUGACACGGGGCGUCUCGUCAACACUUCUUGAUCCUACAAAGUAGCAGAGAAAAGCCUUUACUAUUAUGAAGGAAAAAUUAUUUGGGGUCUAAACCUCUAUGCCUGCCCCAUCUAUUGUUGAUAUGGGAAAAGAGAAGAAGGAUAUUUUUUUGGACAUGUAAAAACUCAGAAAGUUUACUUCCCAAUUAGCUUUUCUUAGGAAGUUUUUGGGAAUGGACUCUAGGAGACAGACUUGCCAAGGGGUUCUAGAAAUCAGUCAGCAAAGGGUAGGGCAGAAGGACUGAGGAAUACAGAGAAGUAUCUGGAAGUAAAGGAACUUUAUGAAUAGGAUCAGAUCUAUACUGUCCUUGGGAGAACUAGAAAUGCUGGGGAGAGGAGCCUUAAAACCAAAAAGAGUUUUAAGGCUAUGUAGCUAAAUCUUCCUGGAGUAGUCCAUAACUAAAAGGGGGGAACACAGUGUAAUGUAUUCAGGAUUUACAUACAUAACCACUUAUUUGUCUGUGAAGAAGUCUUCCUGACUAAAGUUGGUUUUAAGAUAAAUUUUAAUUUCUCAGAGUUCCCAUCAUGGCAUGGUGGAAACGAAUCCGACUAGGAACCAUGAGGUUGCAGGUUCGAUCCCUGGCCUCUCUCAGUCGGUUAAGGAUCUGGCAUUGCCAUGAGCUGUGGUGAGGUCACAGACGCAGCUCAAAUCCUAAAUCCUCCUUUGCUGUGGCUGCGGUGUAGGUUGGCAGCUGUAACUCCGAUUAGACCCCUAGCUUGGGAACCUCCAUAUGCUGUGGGUGCAGCCCUAAAAAGCAAAUAUAUAUAAAAUGAUAUAAAUACAUAUAAUAAAAUAAAAAAUUAAUUUCUCAAUUAGUCUUUAUGGUAUUCCUACCACGUACGUGUUUUUGUGAGAAACUAGUAAAUGUUUUGUGUCAUACUUUUCCUCCCAUUUUAUGGAAGGGAUAUGAGAGUGUUUAAUUUCUCGGGGAGUGCUAAAAUGUCCAGAGGUUGAGUACCUGAAAAAUUAAAGUGAUUAUUAAAGAUUAAAAAAAAAAGAAAAUGAUAAUAGCACACUUUUUGGCUUAGUAAUGAAAAUUUUUAUUGAUUUUCAACUUUUAGAAGUAGCCUUUAGAUAAACCAUGUAAGUCUUAAUGGUGAUAAGGAAAAAGCUGUUAUCAACUUUCUAAUAAGAAACCAAAAGCACAGAAGAUAACAUUCAAGAGAUAGAGGGGGUGUAUGGAAAAGAGGUAAAGGGGAAAGCUCACAGCACGAAUUUAAGAAAUAAACUACAUGAGAGAUUCACUUUAAAAAAAAGUUAAAAGGUACCAGAAUACACUUACAUUACCAGACGAAUUACCCGAGAGGGCAAAAAAAAGGAAGUCACAUCCACGAGAACCUACAUAAAGAGACUAAGCUAAACCUUGUGGAUCAAAUGAAAUAAACAUUCUAAAGAACUAACACUAAGAUCCUAACGCCACGAGUAAGAAGGCACACCAACUCAACACAACCCAAGACGGCAUGACUCCUGUUUGGAUUUCUUGAUCUUGUAAUGACCACUUCAGGAAAGAGCCUAAUACAACACAACCAGCCUAUAAGGAGAGGCUUAGCCCUGUUCUCCAACAAUUAAAGGUUUCUAUUGGUUCUACGGGAUAUGACGUGUGGCCAUGAGAAAAAGGACUCUGAUUAAAAAGCAAAACAAACAUACAUUCUAAUGAGUUUUGUCUUUUCAAAUAAUCCAGUACUACUGCCACUUCCAAGAUUCCUGAAGUGGAAGUUUUGCACAGCCUGUGGACUCUCGGGAGACUCAAAGGAGACACCACUGGAUUAUUUUAACACCUCCCCUGGUUUAUUUUUUACAAAAAUAUGCAUUGUCUAUGUUGACCUUGUCCGUUAAUCAUUCUCGGUUUCUAAUAACUUUUAACUAACCCCAAACCAAGUCUGCUAUCAAAGAAAACCUGUUUUUCACCCACUAAGUCUAUUCAACCUCCAAAGGUUGCUGAAAAGAAGGUCAGUGUUUUGAAUAAUCUUUGAAAGAAACGUUUAGCCUUCGAUUGCUUGUUCAAAAUCUCCCUCCCCAGCACACAUUACACAGGCACAGAUAUAUGCCCCAUAUAAAUGUUUGGAUACUCUUCAGGUUGGGUGACCGACAUUCCUUUUUAGAAUAAUUUAAGAAUUUUACACAUAUUAUACCAUCAAAGAAAACUUUCCUUUCAAGUAGCCAACAUUCAGCCUUUUAAGGCAGCUUCCAUCAGCACUUUUAAAGUCCUUAAGUGUUCAGUGUAUGUGCCUUUUAUAAAGGAUUUUGGUUAACAAAAUAGUUUUUGUGCAAACAUUUCAUUGAUAAUAGUGGAUAAAACAAUAAUAAGCCAGAUUAAGGACAAAAUGAAAAAUUUCUGGACAGAUAAUUGCAUCCUUGAAAUAGCACCUUGCCCAAAAAUGUAUCACUGCAUAUUCAUGGGUGACAGUUUUUAAUAGAGAAGAGGUCAGGAUUAAAAUUAUAUGAUAAACUUUUUUUCUAUAAAAUAAAAACUUCCAAUUAUAAGAACGAGAAUAUUAAAAUAAUUUUUUAUUUUAGCAUAAAAUCAUGGGGCCAAAUAUUACAUUUUUGGCAGAGAGCUCAAAAUGUAUUAAAAGAACUAUUAUAAAUGUUGCUUGGUGAUUUAAUAUGUAGUUCUUGGUAUAGUGGAGCUUAUUAUGAUAUUUUAAGCUAUGGUUUCAUUGCCCUUUGUGAUUAUAGACACACAAAUAAUAGAUAGCUUUAUUUGGUUACCACAUUUCUCAAUUCCAGGUCAAAUGUUCUUUGCUCAGUGAAACAUUCUGAUCAUUACCUGAAAAGCCUCAUUUUAAUGCUCCAGAGAUUUUUGUCACGCUUGGCCAGGAACCAUAUCGCUUAGAUUAUCAUUUCAGAUAUACUCAUUUUUAAAAGAGACUGCAAAAAACUAAGCAUGCAAAAAAAAUCUUUUGCUAAUUAAUGAUGUAUUUUUAGAACAUAUUCUGUCUUUUUUGGUUUCCUUUCAUAUCGAUAAGCAAUAUAAAAGAAAAUUCAUGUAAAUAUAACUGGAUUAAGAAAGAUUAUAAAACACAACCAAGAAUAAAAUCUCUCAUUCUCAAAGAGAAGUGAAAGCAAUCAGUUUUUCUUUUGUCAUUCUUUUAAUUAAUGAAAGAAAGUUGUAUCACCUCCAUCUUCCUAAUUACUGGUUAUUUUAGCAACACACCCGAGAACUGCAGAAAUGCCAGACUCACACAAAUGGCUAAGUUUUUGAAACCAGUCUCAUCCCAGUUACGUGGCAGUAUUAUUAAGAAAGAAGUUUCUAAGCCAAAGCUGAGAAAAAACAGCUGAUUUAAAACAUUACCUUUGUGCGGCGAAGUCUUCCUCUGGGCAGGGGUGGCUGCCGUUUGCACCUGCUGCUGUUUGACCAAAUUUCCUUCACUCCCAGUUUUCAAAAUCUUCUCCCCUAAGCUGCUUUUUUUCUGUUUGCUGUUUAAAUCAUCCCUUCGAGAUGAUGGCAGCUUAGAAGCUGCAUUAGCGAAGAAAGGUCUAGCCAAGCGAGAAGGUUUGGACAUUUUAAACAGCAGAAAAAAAAAAAAAAAAAGUAAAAAGCACACACACAACAACAAAAAGAACCAACCCCAGAAUGUUACCUGCUGGGGCAGCAGCUUCUAAAAAAUCCUUUGAGCUUCACUUUUCAGCUGCCACAGUUAACAGUAUAAAGUGCUGCUGGAUGGGGAGCAUGGGACUGCCACUCAGAUUUCUUUUAAACAAAAGGCAUCAUGCAGUCGCCAAGGCCAUUUGGUUGACCUGUGGAAUGUACAUGUGUGUUCCAAAGACGGCCGGUGACAGUUUCGCAAU